AGCAUGAUGGCUCAGUUGGAAGAGUAUUGGGCUCAUAUCCCAAAGGUCCCUGGAUCGAGACCAGGUCGUGCUA
Molecule: transfer RNA, 73 nt
Rfam family: tRNA
About the family: Transfer RNA (tRNA) molecules are approximately 80 nucleotides in length. Their secondary structure includes four short double-helical elements and three loops (D, anti-codon, and T loops).
Source: Rfam